CAGGUUUGAUCCUGGCUCAGGAUGAACGCUAGCUACAGGCUUAACACAUGCAAGUCGAGGGGCAGCGCGGCGGAAGCUUGCUUCCGCUGGCGGCGACCGGCGCACGGGUGCGUAACGCGUAUCCAACUUGCCCUUGUCCCGGGGAUAGCCUCGCGAAAGCGAGAAUAAUACCCGGUGUAGCCACGGUUCCGCAUGGAAUUGUGGCGAUAGGUCCGCCGGACAAGGAUAGGGAUGCGUCCCAUUAGGCAGUA
This 251-nucleotide ribosomal RNA is filed under the name uncultured bacterium. RNAcentral describes it as "partial 16S ribosomal RNA". It matches the Rfam family "Bacterial small subunit ribosomal RNA", at positions 9 to 250 of the family's 1533-position model. The record is from RNAcentral.